RNAcentral lists this long non-coding RNA (590 nucleotides) under Mytilus galloprovincialis (Mediterranean mussel). The record is from RNAcentral. Lineage: Eukaryota; Metazoa; Mollusca; Bivalvia; Mytilida; Mytilidae.
AUAAAAUGCAUGUUUUUUAAAUAGUAUAAACUUAUGGUUUAGUUUUAGAUUCCGAUACUGUCGAUAUUGUCAUGGAUUUGUCAAUAUGAUGUCGAAAUUUUUUUUAAAAGAUACUUAAAUAUUAAGUUAAAAGCAUACAUGACAUAGUGUGGAAAAUAAAAGCAAUGCGUGGAAAAAAAUCUGUAUUGUGUUUACCCGACAGGAUUGUUCUUAAUAGCAUUAUGCAAAUGCAGCUUCAUUUGCACAAAUGUGCACAAAACAGCUUUUGUUACUCUAUACAACAAAAAUGAAACCGCUUAUUUUGUAAUUCUGUGACACUCAGUGCAUGUAUAACGUACAUACAUGUUAUAAAUAAACGAAUGCCGCGGUACCUAACGGAUGUAAAAUUAUUUGAUAGUCCGCAUGUAUCCAUGUCGAUUGGUCAAUAAAUGAACUAAAAAAAAUAUUGUGUCACAACAUUGAAUUUUAAUCAUUAAAUAAAUCUAAUUUUGUUCACCGACUGCAGUACAACCCUCAAUGAAAUUUUAACUAAUAAACAAGUAUAAAAUGUAUUGAGAAUGUUGUUAUAGAUAAUAAAAUUAAUAAACGGA